Molecule: ribosomal RNA, 837 nt
Filed under: uncultured bacterium
Lineage: Bacteria
Description: bacterial SSU rRNA
Rfam family: Bacterial small subunit ribosomal RNA
Source: RNAcentral
AAUCAACGCUGGCGGCGUGCCUAACACAUGCAAGUCGAACGAGAAAGGGUAGCAAUACCUGAGUAAAGUGGCGCACGGGUGAGUAACACGUGACUAACCUACCCUGGAGUGGGGGAUAACUGAGGGAAACCUUAGCUAAUACCGCAUAAUACCUACGGGUCAAAGGAGCAAUUCGCUUCAGGAGGGGGUCGCGGCCGAUUAGUUAGUUGGCGGGGUAAUGGCCCACCAAGACAGUGAUCGGUAUCCGGCCUGAGAGGGCGCACGGACACACUGGAACUGAAACACGGUCCAGACUCCUACGGGAGGCAGCAGUGGGGAAUUUUGCGCAAUGGGGGAAACCCUGACGCAGCAACGCCGCGUGGAGGAUGAAGUACUUCGGUACGUAAACUCCUUUCGAUCGGGACGAUAAUGACGGUACCGGAAGAAGAAGCCCCGGCUAACUUCGUGCCAGCAGCCGCGGUAAUACGAGGGGGGCAAGCGUUGUUCGGAAUUAUUGGGCGUAAAGGGUGCGUAGGCGGUUUGGUAAGUCUUUUGUGAAAUCUAUGGGCUCAACUCAUAGCCUGCAAGGGAAACUGUCGUGCUUGAGUAUGGGAGAGGUGAGUGGAAUUCCUGGUGUAGCGGUGAAAUGCGUAGAUAUCAGGAGGAACACCUGUGGCGAAAGCGGCUCACUGGACCAUUACUGACGCUGAUGCACGAAAGCUAGGGGAGCAAACAGGAUUAGAUACCCUGGUAGUCCUAGCCCUAAACGAUGACUGCUUGGUGUGACGGGUACCCAAUCCCGCCGUGCCGUAGCUAACGCGUUAAGCAGUCCGCCUGGGGAGUAUGCUCGCAAGGGUG